UAAUACGUAGGGUGCAGGCGUUAAUCGGAAUUACUGGGCGUAAAGCGUGCGCAGGCGGUUUGCUAAGACAGGUGUGAAAUCCCCGGGCUUAACCUGGGAAUUGCGCUUGUAACUGGCAGGCUAGAGUGUGGCAGAGGGGGGUGGAAUUCCACGUGUAGCAGUGAAAUGCGUAGAUAUGUGGAGGAACACCGAUGGCGAAGGCAGCCCCCUGGGUCAACACUGACGCUCAGGCACGAAAGCGUGGGGAGCAAACAGG
This 256-nucleotide ribosomal RNA is filed under the name uncultured bacterium. RNAcentral describes it as "partial 16S ribosomal RNA". It matches the Rfam family "Bacterial small subunit ribosomal RNA", at positions 521 to 776 of the family's 1533-position model. The record is from RNAcentral.